Long non-coding RNA from Coregonus clupeaformis (lake whitefish), 1822 nucleotides. RefSeq lists it as uncharacterized. The transcript is spliced from 2 exons. The record is from RefSeq and is a predicted model, not a curated record. NCBI's taxonomy places the organism in Eukaryota, Metazoa, Chordata, Actinopteri, Salmoniformes, Salmonidae.
ACCAUUCCACUGAUUCUGCUCCAGCCAUUACCACGAGCACGUCCUCCCCAAUGAGGGUGCCACCAGCCUCCUGUGAUCUGAUCUCACAGUAGUAAGACGUGUCCUCUCUGCCGGCCCAUGAUGGAUGAACUAGGGCACUUAGAGGUUCUGCAUGUUUUUCUAGUUGAGCAUUAAGCGGCAGCGUGGACGGAAGAAGAACUACGUUUUUAUUAUUAUCAUUGAGCUUCUUCUCAUCUAAUCAGAGGUGAGGGGUGUGGUCAUCAUCCAAUGUUCUCAUCCAAUCCAACGUCAGUGUAACGUUCUGCUUCCAUUUCAAUCUAACAUGUAAAAGUUCUGUCACUUUUCUUGUUAUUAUGUGAGGUUCAGGGCCUGUGUCCAUAAAGAGUAUCAGAGUAGGAGUGCUGAUCUAGGAUCCGUUUUGCCUUUAGAUCAUAAUGAGUAAGAUUACAUGAACAGGGAGGACCUGAUCCCAGAUCAGCACGACUACUCUGAGACGCUUCAUGAAUACAGGCCCAGAUCCACUGUGGUAUUCAGAUAGAACUGGACGGACCGACCGACCGACAGAGCAGCAUGCUUUUAGAGCUCAACACCAGCAGAAACACUAUAGCUACAGUUGGAACAUACUGUAUCCAUAGUAUUCAUGUAUAGAUCUAGAAUUUUUGAAUAAUGAAUACGAUAUAAAGAAGACAUGAUGACAUUUAUAAUCAUGAGAUGGAGGAAGAGGUAUUUGAAAUGCGUACGAGGUCCUCAGAUUUUAGGUUGUGUUCCAAAUGGCACCCUAUUUCCUAUAUAGUACUGGUCAAAAGUAGUGCACUAUAUAGGGAACAGGUUUACCAUUUGGGACGCACAAUGUCUCCGAGCUUUCUGUCUGAUUUUAGUUAGUUUGUUUUGGGGUGUAACUGUUCACAUCACCAGAGACCGGCUCCUUGACUGUUGGUCUAUCAUAUCCUUAUCCAGGGGCUAACUUCUCUUUUCCAACAAGUUAGUUCUUUUAUUUUCCGAAGCAGCACACAACAAGUUGAAUUUAUGGAUCAUAUUCAGUCUGCAGCACUGUACAUCGUUCAUAGUUGAAUCUAUGGAUCAUAUUCAGUCUGCAGCACUGUACAUCGUUUUUAAACUGUUUCAGUUGUUAGUAUUGUUUUGGUUGGUCAUCAUGAGUCACUGCUAGCCAGCCCAGUGAAGUGAAGGUUACAGUGUGUCAUCAGACCAGACUGAGACCCAUGUCUACUAGCUACUUCUCUCAGACACACACACACACACACACACACACACACACACACACAGAACAUCUCAGUAACAGACGUAUCCCCUGACACAGCAGGCUGCAGGUAAUAGUUCUCCUUCAUUCUCUGGAAAUGUGCCUGAGAUUUUGGCCUGCACCUCGACUAUGUCCCAAAUGGCACCCUAAAGUUGUGCACUAUGUAGGGAAUAGGGUGCCAUUUUGGGACGCAUUUCUAAGUUAUGCUAGUUAUGCCACGUGUUCUUAGACAAUUGCACUCAAAUCUGGGGAAAGUAAUAAAAACAUAUUCUGUUCAACGGUGACAUGUAAUGACCGGAGAAGACUGAGACUAUGGAAGAGUUUCUCCUCUGAACUUCCUACACAACGAACGCGGUACACUAAGGUACGCGCUGAGAGAGCUGUCCAGUGUGUUGACUGUCUGUGCGUUAGUCAUAUUCAGCUCAUCACGUCAGUAUUUUUUCCACUGAGAGAAAUUAAAAAUGAUUUAAAACAUUUGUGAACUUUCUGCUGUGGAGACAUUAUACAAUACUUUGUUUUGGCAAAGGAAGGUCACGUCAAUAAAGCAUGUUGUUUUUAACCAAA